GACGAACGCUGGCGGCGUGCCUAAUACAUGCAAGUCGAACGCACUCUCGUUUAGAUUGAAGGAGUUUGCUCCUGAUUGAUAAACAUUUGAGUGAGUGGCGGACGGGUGAGUAACACGUGGGUAACCUGCCCUAAAGUGGGGGAUAACAUUUGGAAACAGAUGCUAAUACCGCCUAAAACCUAACACCGCAUGGUGUAGGGUUGAAAGAUGGUUUCGGCUAUCACUUUAGGAUGGACCCGCGGUGCAUUAGUUAGUUGGUGAGGUAAGGGCUCACCAAGACCGUGAUGCAUAGCCGACCUGAGAGGGUAAUCGGCCACACUGGGACUGAGACACGGCCCAGACUCCUACGGGAGGCAGCAGUAGGGAAUCUUCCACAAUGGACGAAAGUCUGAUGGAGCAACGCCGCGUGAGUGAAGAAGGUGUUCGGAUCGUAAAACUCUGUUGUUGGAGAAGAAUGUAUCUGAUAGUAACUGAUCAGGUAGUGACGGUAUCCAACCAGAAAGCCACGGCUAACUACGUG
This 520-nucleotide ribosomal RNA is filed under the name uncultured bacterium. RNAcentral describes it as "partial 16S ribosomal RNA". It matches the Rfam family "Bacterial small subunit ribosomal RNA", at positions 28 to 507 of the family's 1533-position model. The record is from RNAcentral.